GGGGGAGUCUGUCAGUCAGACACAGAGGUCGAGCCGUGGAGCAGAUCUCGCGGCGGGGCUCCUCCCGGGGCUGGUACGUCCUGCCGGCCGCCGGCGACCUCCUCGUCGAUGAGUACGUGCAGCAGCCCGGAGAGGCGCCUGCAGCUGCAGGGGCCGCCAAAGGCUGGAUCUCGCAGAAUCGUGAGGUACUUGAGAAAGGGAGGGGAAUCAGAAUUGUUGUGGAGGAAAUGAAAAUAUCUUGUUAUUUGGCUGCUAACAUCCAUGUUCUUUUAGACUGAACAUUGCCAUGGGUGUUUCUCUACGCAGCGAAUAUAUUAGAUCAAGCAUCAUAUCAUGGACACCAUAAGACUUUUCUGUCUUGAUAAUGAUGUCUACAGGUUGGACCCUACUUUUGUUUAUGAGCUCAUUCAAGUAACUCUCCUAGCUCAAAUGGGUCAAUUUCAUGUUUACAUGAUAGAUGAUACACAAAUCUUCAGCCAUCCAUCUCCAUAUGAACUGGUCUUGCUUAAUUUUGUAGUCUUCUGGAUAUAUGCUUACAUAUAAUAAAUAAUGUGAAGGUAGAUCAUAGAACGACAACAUAAUCUUUAGUCUUGAACAAAUUAUGGUAGACUAGAGAUAGAACACUAUACGAACCAGACACAUACCGACGAUAUGGAAACUAGCAAAGAAAUAGUAAAAGAAGUUCCUGACUUGUAGAUUAUGUCAACGUGAUAAUCUGGAGUCAAGCUUCUUUUACUACUAAUUUUGAUCUACCUUGUCAUCGAUAGGAUUAGUUAUUAUAUCUAAGCAUGUGUUCAGAAGAUUAGGAGAUUAAGCAAGGUCACUUGAUAUGUAAAUGGAUGGCUGAAUGUUUUGUGUAUCAUGAAGAACAAGAGACUAGCCUAUUUGAGCUCGGUGGUAGAGUUACUCAAUGAGAUCAUAAAUAGAAGCAUGAUCGAUCAAUAGACAUCAAUGUUGAUGAAGGCAAUGAAAAAAAAUCUUAUGGUAUACAUGAUAUGAUGAUUGAUCCCAUAUGUUUUUGCCAAGUGAAGAAACCCACUUGCAUGGCACUGAGUGAAAACUGUCUAUCCAAAGGCAAGAUUUGAAUAUUAUCCAUCCGAAAGAGAAUGUCACAUAUGGUCGCCAUCAAAAGAAGCAACAAUGCCACAAGUGAGCUCUCUUGUAUAUCCAUGUGCUAUUGUUGAUUCAGUGCCGCGUAUGUUGAGUGAGCAUUUAUGUUCUACAUGUGUUAGGUUUAAAAUAUUGUGCUGAACACUUCCAUUCUUGCCAAUUGAGAUGGUGAGACUCAGGAACACUGCAUUUGCCAUGGUGUUUUGAUUUGUCUUGUGCAGCGACAUGAAAUUCUUAUUGUAAUUGUACCCACUAAUGACUGAAUACUGCUGUCACUUCGGUUAGAUUCAAGAAGCGCCAAGUUUCGGCGGCGCCUCCUGCACUUUGCUAAUGAUGAACUUCCCUCUCCAUUUCUUUCUUUUGUAAGGAAGAGUUAUGCACUUAUGAUGUAUGGCUGGCUGGUUAAUUUUCUGUCAAUUCAACAACCAGUUUGUAGGGCGGCCACUGCAAUUUGCUCGUAUGCACCAUUAGUUAUUAUAUAUGUACUGAUGUCUGGCUUGCUUGCUCUCCUGCAUUCUCGAUUACACUCCCUUGUUUGUAACAGCUUUAUUUCAGACUCGCAAACUAAGAGGCCGCAUUCAGUUUGUCCUAUGUUCUGAAGUUCCAUUUUCUGUUUGUCAUUUUGAUCAAAUAAACAGGGAAGUCAGCAGUGUCAUUUCGAUGUACCUGCUUAGGACCUGCAUUGAGUACAUCUUUCUGUUGGAAUACAAGUGGAACUUGAGUUGCCAUUUCGUCUCGUGGGUUGGUGAUGUACAUCUUUCUGUCAAUCACGCUGGAGUGGAAGUAUUGCCCUCAACUGAUGCAACGCUUUCUGGGCGAGAGAAUGAUUGGAUGUUGCCCCCAACUCAAGUGACUCUUCUAUCUCUGUACAGGGGAGCAAAUCAUGAGAUGUUUUAUUUUGCUAUUUUGCGACAAAAUCAUAUGGUGCCGCAGACAAAUAAGACCCGUCUACUAGCAACUUGAUAUGAUAAAUUCACAGAAGCAUCUUGUUCAGUUGCUCCCACAUACUUGUUCUUGUUCUUGUAGCAUCUAGUGAUUCCUCUUGCCACGGUCAAGCUACGUUGAUAGGCUGCUUUGGCCGAGCUGUCGUUGUUUGCACAGAUAUAUCAAACUGAAGUCUGUUUAAUUUGC
This 2241-nucleotide ribosomal RNA is filed under the name Triticum aestivum (bread wheat). RNAcentral describes it as "partial small subunit ribosomal RNA". The record is from RNAcentral. Lineage: Eukaryota; Viridiplantae; Streptophyta; Magnoliopsida; Poales; Poaceae.